UACAGAGGGGGCAAGCGUUAUUCGGAAUUAUUGGGCGUAAAGGGCGCGUAGGCGGCCUGGCAAGUGGAAGGUGAAAUCCCUCGGCUUAACCGAGGAACUGCCCUCCAAACUGCUUGGCUUGAGUCGGGGAGAGGUGAGUGGAAUUCCCAGUGUAGCGGUGAAAUGCGUAGAUAUCAGGAAGAACACCCGUGGCGAAAGCGGCUCUCUGGAACGGUACUGACGCUGAGACGCGAAAGCGUGGGGAGCGAACAGG
RNAcentral lists this ribosomal RNA (253 nucleotides) under uncultured bacterium. Its description in RNAcentral is "partial 16S ribosomal RNA". It matches the Rfam family "Bacterial small subunit ribosomal RNA", at positions 524 to 776 of the family's 1533-position model. The record is from RNAcentral.